RNAcentral lists this ribosomal RNA (468 nucleotides) under uncultured bacterium. RNAcentral's name for it is "partial 16S ribosomal RNA". It matches the Rfam family "Bacterial small subunit ribosomal RNA", at positions 28 to 507 of the family's 1533-position model. The record is from RNAcentral.
GACGAACGCUGGCGGCGUGCUUAACACAUGCAAGUCGAACGGAGAGGCCCUGCUUUUGUGGGGUGCUCGAGUGGCGAACGGGUGAGUAACACGUGAGUAACCUGCCCUUGAUUUUGGGAUAACUUCAGGAAACUGGGGCUAAUACCGGAUAGGAGCUCCUGCUGCAUGGUGGGGGUUGGAAAGUUUCGGCGGUUGGGGAUGGACUCGCGGCUUAUCAGCUUGUUGGUGGGGUAGUGGCUUACCAAGGCUUUGACGGGUAGCCGGCCUGAGAGGGUGACCGGCCACAUUGGGACUGAGAUACGGCCCAGACUCCUACGGGAGGCAGCAGUGGGGAAUAUUGCACAAUGGGCGGAAGCCUGAUGCAGCAACGCCGCGUGCGGGAUGACGGCCUUCGGGUUGUAAACCGCUUUCGCCUGUGACGAAGCGUGAGUGACGGUAAUGGGUAAAGAAGCACCGGCUAACUACGUG